Molecule: long non-coding RNA, 213 nt
Filed under: Elaeis guineensis (African oil palm)
Lineage: Eukaryota; Viridiplantae; Streptophyta; Magnoliopsida; Arecales; Arecaceae
Description: long non-coding RNA (EGUI_LNC042272)
Source: RNAcentral
CAGUGGUAUGAGUGAUCCUUUGACCUGUGGUGAUAUUGACUAUUUGUAGCGAGGCUACUGAGUUUGACUGCAUAUUUCUUUAGUCCCUAACCAUUCAGAUCUUUGCUGUGUAUGUUGGCUUCAGUAGAUUCAGGUUCGCUGUUUGGAGUAGGAUGUACUUAGAUAAAAUUUAUCGACCUUGAUAGAAAAGGAGAAGUCCUAUAUAAUUUGCAC